AGAAGCUGACAAGAAAAAAUAGAAAAUGCCAGGAAACACACAGUUAGCAGUAGGAAGACUCUUUGUUCUAGGAUGACUCUUAUAGGUCAACUCCUGUAGUGGUAGUGCCUAUAAAUAUCCUUGAGUUCUUUAUUUCUAUCACUCAUUGAGAAUCAAAAAUCAAAAUGUCUUCUCAUACUGCAACUAAGUACGAUGUUUUCCUAAGUUUCAGAGGGCAUGACACUCGCCAGAACUUCAUCAGUUUUCUCUACAAAGAACUGGUUCGAAGGAGCAUUCGAACCUUCAAAGACGACAAAGAGCUGGAGAAUGGCCAGAGGAUUUCGUCGGAGCUCAAACGCACCAUCGAGGUGUCAAGAUUCGCCGUCGUUGUUGUCUCAGAGACCUAUGCUGCGUCUUCUUGGUGUCUCGAUGAGCUCGUAACGAUCAUGGAUUUCGAAAAAAAGGGUUCCAUCACCGUGAUGCCCAUCUUCUACGGCGUGGAACCGAAUCAUGUGAGGUGGCAGACCGGAGUACUCGCUGAACAGUUUAAGAAACAUGGGAGUAGAGAAGAUCAUGAGAAAGUGCUUAAAUGGAGGCAAGCAUUGACCAAUUUUGCGCAACUCUCCGGCGAUUGUUCAGGGUGAAAUUUCGUAACUUGAUUUUUUUUUUGAGUUGAAUCAAAAAGAUUGAAUUUUUUAUUGUUUGAUUUGAAUCGAUGCUAAAGUUUGGAUUUUUUUUUUUGUCUCUGUAGUGAUGAUGACUCGAAGCUGGUGGACAAAAUUGCUAACGAGAUAUCAAACAAGAAGACGAUUUAUGCAACAAUAAACAAUGGGAAGAAUCUAGUUGGGAUUGAUACACACAUGAAGGAACUAAACCGAUUAAUGCAUAUGAAUUGCAACAAAGUUACUGUAAGAAUGGUUGGGAUUUGGGCAAGAGGAGGCGAUGGUAGAUCAGCUCUAGCUAAAUAUGUUUAUCAGACAUCUUGUCAACAGUUUGACAGCCAUUGUUUUCUUGGAAACGUGAAAACGAUUUCUCAGGGUCGCCACUCAGCGCAUCUACACGACGAGUUUCUGAGAAAUAUUAAAAGAGAAGACUCUAACAAACAAUGUCUUAAGAAUCAAAAGGUUCUGCUUGUGGCAGACAACGUUACUAAGGUUAAACAGUUAGAAGCUCUUGCAGGGGAUUUCAGCAGUUUUGGUCCUGGGAGUGUUGUUAUUAUCACUACAGACAACAAGGGGUUGUUGAAUUCUUAUGGUAUAACAGAUGUCUACGAAGUUGAGCAUUUGAAGUUUUGUGGAAUCUUACGAUCAUUGGGCUUUAAAAAGAGAGCUGCUGCGUUCCAGCGGGCUUUGUGUAGAGCAAAGAGUUUUGCCACGGAAUGUUUUUGUUGUCAAAGUAGUAGUAUAUCUGGUUAUGGGAAAGUGACAGAUUUAGUUUAAUUAAGUUGAAUCCCUUAUUAGUCAUAUGCAUUAAGUUAAGUAAACUUAAUAAGUUGUGUGGCUUAGAAAUAAUAUUGUUUUGUCUAUUUUUGGAGUGGGUUGCUCUUGGGGUGUAGAAAAAUGUCACUCUUCAUUGGAUUAAGUAAUAUACAUUUUUUUGUUCCUUAGUUUUUAAGACAUUUUUUUACAUCUGGAUGUGCCAGUUGUUUGUAAUAUACUGUUCUUUCCUUAUAGAAAUAAAUAUUACACAAUUUUUUAAAAAAGAUUUAUGUAUUUGGGAGGGUUUUUUGAUGUUUGGACAUGCCCAAUAAAAUUAAAAAUUAAUACAGGAGACACAAAGUCGCUAACUUUCCAAAGUUGGAAUCUACAUAUGUCUAAAACAGAGAAGAAAAGCUUUUAAACUUUUUACAUGACGAUCCUCCAAUAAUAGUAAUACACUACUACAGUUCAAAGCCACUGACAAGUUUCUCGCUUUUUUCCCUUAAUGAGAAACUCUUUUAACCUGCUUUUCUGAUUUAUGCUCUUUGGGUACGUGGAAGAUUUCAAUCACAGACUAACGUAAUUAAAUCAUUUAUUGGAAACUGUGAGUCAAGCUGAAUAAACUUGAUGCAAACGAAUAGAUAUGAAAGAAAUUGGGUUGAUCAACAAAAAAACAAGCCGACAAAAACUGAAUCUCAUGAUAUGUUUUCGUCCGUCAGUUUUAACCGUUCGUUUGAUCGGAUAAUCAAAACCAGUAAAUGCCAAUAAUACACACCAGAAAAGUAAGAUGAUAAUUUUUGUUCGUUAGUAGUAUUUUAUUAUUAUCAUGCUCAUCAUUUUCUUACUUUGGCGGCCCAUCUUUUCUCUUCCCCUCUUUCUGAGUAGUUUAGUAAAACAGAACCUGACAGAAAAAAAUAGAAAAUGCCAGGAAACACACACUUAGCAGGAAGACUAUGGGAGUCUCUAACCAAUGCACAUGCUUUAUUUAGUUCAACUACUCUCUAGUGGUCUAUAAAUAUCGUUGAGUUCUUUAUUUCUAUUACUCAUCAUAGUUCUCAAUAGAGAGAAUCAAAAAUCAAAAUGUCUUCUCCUACUGCGACUAAGUACGACGUCUUUCUGAGUUUCAGAGGACUCGACACUCGUCGCAACUUCAUCAGUUUUCUCUACAAAGAACUCGUUCGAAGAAAAAUUCGAACUUUCAAAGACGACAAGGAGCUCGAGAAUGGCCGGAGGAUUUCUCCGGAGCUCAAACGCGCCAUCGAGGAGUCGAAAUUCGCCGUCGUUGUGGUCUCUGUGAACUACGCUGCGUCUCCUUGGUGUCUCGAUGAGCUUGUGAAGAUUAUGGAUUUCGAAAACAAGGGUUCCAUCACCGUGAUGCCUAUCUUCUACGGCGUGGAUCCUUGUCAUUUGAGGAGGCAGAUCGGAGAUGUCGCUGAACAGUUUAAGAAGCACGAGGCUAGAGAAGAAGAUCAUGAGAAAGUAGCUUCGUGGAGACGAGCAUUGACCAGUUUAGCGAGUAUCUCCGGCGAAUGUUCAUUGAAAUGGUGAAAUUUCGUAGCGUUGGUUAGAAAGAUUGGAUUUUUAUUUGAUAUGUCUCGUUACUAAAGUUUCGAUUUUUAUUUUGUUUUCUCUCUGUAGGGAAGAUGAAGCGAAUCUGGUGGACGAAAUUGCUGACAAGAUAUCAAAAAAUCUGAUGACUGUUACAACAAUAAGCAAUGGGAGGGACCUAGUUGGGAUUGAUACACACAUGAAGGCUCUUAACAAAAAAUUGGAUUUGAAUUCCAACAAAAGUUUGAGAGUGGUUGGGAUUUGGGCAAGAGGAUACAAUGGUAGAUCAGCUUUAGCUAAAUAUGUUUAUCAAGACAUCUGUCAUUGGUUGAAGGUUGGUUGGUUGAAGGUUUAUCAAGAUAUCAAGACAGCUUCCAAACUUUAUGUUUUAACUCGUUGGUUGAAGGUUGCACAUUUGCUUCAUAGAUCACAUCACUCUUUUAAAACUGAGUAGCCAGCCAAUCAAUAACCCGAAUUUCACUGAGAAAUCCCCACAUUUGUUAUGUUUCCAUACUACAAAAUCAUCUAUUGACACCACUAGUUAGCUGUGAUCUUAUAAAGAUGAGUAAGCCAACCAAACCAAUAACCCAAAUUGGAAAAUGUGAGUCAAGCCGAAUAAACUUGAUGUAAUAACCUAUUCGUUCUAACUUGAAAUUGUUAUUAAAAUCAUCCUUAUCAAUUAGCCUUUCUCGUCCGUCAAUUGACUUAGUUCUAACCAUUCGUUUGAUCGAUAAUCAAACAAACAGUUGAAUCUUCUUCAACCAAUUAAAUUAGACUACGAGUAACUAAAUGCCAAUACACGAGAAAACUAGACUAAGAGGAGAAUUUGUGUUCGUUAAUAUGUUAUCCAUACUCAUUAUCUUAUUUUGGCGGCCCAUCUAUUCUCUUCCCUCUUUCUGAGUAGUUUAGUGAAACAGAAGCUGACAAGAAAAAAUAGAAAAUGCCAGGAAACACACAGUUAGCAGUAGGAAGACUCUUAUAGGUCAACUUCUGUAGUGGUAGUGCCUAUAAAUAUCCUUGAGUUUUUUAUUUCUAUCACUCAUUGAGAAUCAAAAAUCAAAAUGUCUUCUCAUACUGCAACUAAGUAUGAUGUUUUCCUAAGUUUCAGAGGGCAUGACACUCGCCACAACUUCAUCAGUUUUCUCUACAAAGAACUGGUUCGAAGGAGCAUUCGAACCUUCAAAGACGACAAAGAGCUGGAGAAUGGCCAGAGGUUUUCGCCGGAGCUCAAAAGCCCCAUCGAGGUGUCAAGAUUCGCCGUCGUUGUUGUCUCAGAGAACUAUGCUGCGUCUUCUUGGUGUCUCGAUGAGCUCGUAACGAUCAUGGAUUUCGAAAAAAAGGGUUCCAUCACCGUGAUGCCCAUCUUCUACGGCGUGGAACCGAAUCAUGUGAGGUGGCAGACCGGAGUACUCGCUGAACAGUUUAAGAAACAUGCGAGUAGAGAAGAUCCUGAGAAAGUUCUUAAAUGGAGGCAAGCAUUGACCAAUUUUGCGCAACUCUCCGGCGAUUGUUCAGGGUGAAAUUUCGUAACUUGGUGAUAAAGAUUGAUUUUUUUUAGGGUUUGUUAAGAUUUGAGUUGAAUCAAAAAGAUUGAAUUUUUUUAUUGUUUGAUUUGAAUCGAUGCUAAAGUUUGGAUUUUUUUGUUUUGUCUCUGUAGUGAUGAUGACUCGAAGCUGGUGGACAAAAUUGCUAACGAGAUAUCAAACAAGAAGACGAUUUAUGCAACAAUAUGAUGAGUCCAGACGAGAAGAAGAAGAAGAAAGGAGAAGGCCCAUAAGGACUCGCAUGCCCAAUCCAAAGUAUUCCCAACACUAAGUCAUUUUACUUAGUCUCUGUUUUCGAUUUAGUUACAAUAAGCAAGGAGUCUUCCACGAUUACAGUUUCCAUCUUUUCCAAGUUUGUAGAAGUUGUUACUCCACGUUUGUUUCCAUGUUGUUUCUAGUUGUAAGGAGGUGUACUCCAAGUAUUUAUAUCAAUGAAAAACAAAACAAAAGGUAGUCUUAACUAACAAUCGUUUAUCAAUUCUAAGAACUAGAAUUCUCUUUGGUUUUGAAGAGGGACCAUUACAAUAAACAAUGGGAAGAAUCUAGUUGGGAUUGAUACACACAUGAAGGAACUAAUCAGCUCUAGCUAAAUAUGUUUAUCAGACAUCUUGUCAACAGUUUGACAGCCAUUGUUUUCUUGGAAACGUGAAAACGAUUUCUCUACCAAGUGUCGUUAGCUCAAUUGGUAAAGACCUUAAGCGAAAGCUUCGCUUAGGGUCGCCGGUUCGAGUGACGCUUGAGACGAAACUAAUAUUACAUGAUGUGGUUUCGGGUCUGGGUGGAUUACGGGUUUCGUUCAGAACCUCCUGGAUUUCAACAAAAAAAAAAAAAAAAAAAAACGAUUUCUCAGGGUCGCCACUCAUCUACACGACGAGUUUUGAGAAAUAUUAAAAGAGAAGACUCUAACAAACAAUGUCUUAAGAAUCAAAAGGUUCUGCUUGUGGCAGACGACGUUACUAAGGUUAAACAGUUAGAAGCUCUUGCAGAUGAUUUCAGCAGUUUUGGUCCUGGGAGUGUUGUUAUCAUCACUACAGACAACAAGGGGUUGUUGAAUUCUUAUGGUAUAAAAGAAGUCUACGAAGUUGAGAAUUUGAAGUUUUGUGGAAUCUUACGAUCAUUGGGCUUUAAAAAGAGAGCUGCUGCGUUCCAGCGGGCUUUGUGUAGAGCAAAUAGUUUUGCCACGGAAUGUUUUUGUUGUCAAAGUAGUAGUAUAUCUGGUUAUGGGAAAGUGACAGAUUCAGUUAAUUAAGUUUAAAUUCCUUAGUCACAUGCACUAAGUUAGCUAAACUUAAUAAGAUGUGUGGCUAGGGGUGUAAAACAAAUAUCACUCUUCAUUAAAUUAAGUAAUAUACACUUUUUUUUCCUUAUCAAAUCUGUGUUUGAGUUAUAACCUAAAUGUUUGUUGUGUGUCUCUUUCAAGUCUAUAUUUUCUUAAAAACAAAGUUUGUAUAAUUUCUUGGGAUUCCCAUGACCAUUUGUUCUUUGAAUACCCGAAUUCUCAAAGGCAGUUUGGUUGUCAAAUAAAGAUUACACAAUUUAUAAAAAAAGAUUUGUGUAUUUGGGAGGGUUUUUGAUGUUUGGACAUGCCCAAUAAAAUUAAAAAUUAAUACAGGAGACACAAAGUCGCAAACUUUCCAAAGUUGGAAUCUACAUAUGUCUAAAACAGAGAAGAAAAGCUUUUAAACUUUUUACAUGAUGAUCCUCCAAUAAUAGUAAUAGUGUAAUGGUACUAUACUACUACAGUUCAAAGCCACUGAUUUAUGCUUUUUGGGUACGUGGAAGAUUUCAAUCACAGACAAACGUAAUUAAAUCAUUUAUUGGAAAAUGUGAGUCAAGCUGAAUAAACUUGAUGCACACGAAUAGAUAUGAAAGAAAUUGGGUUGAUCAACAAAAAAACAAGCCGACAAAAACUGAAUCUUAUGAUCUUUUUUCGUCCGUCAGUUUCAACCAUUCGUUUGAUCGGAUAAUCAAAACCAGCAAAUGCCAAUAAUACACACCAGAAAAGGUAAGAUGAUAAUUUUUGUUCGUUAGUAGUAUUUUAUUAUUAUCAUGCUCAUCAUUUUCUUACUUUGGCGGCCCAUCUUUUCUCUUCCCCUCUUUCUGAGUAGUUUAGCAAAACAGAAGCUGACAAGAAAAAAAUAGAACAUGCCUGGAAAUACACAAUUACACCACUUUAGCAGGAAGACUAUGGGAGUCUCUAAUCAAUGCACAUGCUUUAUUCAGUUCAACUACUCUCUAGUGGUCUAUAAAUAUCCUUGAGUCCUUUAUUUCUAUUACUCAUCAUACUUAAGUUCUCAAUAGAGAGAAUCAAAAAUCAAAAUGACUUCUCCUACUGCGACUAAGUAUGAUGUCUUUCUGAGUUUCAGAGGAGUCGACACUCGUCGCAACUUCAUCAGUUUUCUCUACAAAGAAUUCGUUCGAAGGAAAAUUCGAACUUUCAAAGACGACAAGGAGCUUGAGAAUGGCCGGAGGAUUUCUCCGGAGCUCAAACGCGCCAUCGAGGAGUCGAAAUUCGCCGUCGUUGUUGUCUC
This 7020-nucleotide long non-coding RNA is filed under the name Arabidopsis thaliana (thale cress). RNAcentral describes it as "long non-coding RNA (ATHA_LNC000635)". Lineage: Eukaryota; Viridiplantae; Streptophyta; Magnoliopsida; Brassicales; Brassicaceae. The record is from RNAcentral.